GUCCCUGUAGCGCAAUGGAUAGCGCGUUGGACUUCUAAUCCGAAUGUCAUGGGUUCGAAUUUCAUCAGGGAUG
Non-coding RNA from Trichonephila inaurata madagascariensis, 73 nucleotides. Lineage: Eukaryota; Metazoa; Arthropoda; Arachnida; Araneae; Nephilidae. The record is from the annotation of a GenBank genome assembly.